Molecule: non-coding RNA, 91 nt
Filed under: uncultured Paenibacillus sp.
Lineage: Bacteria; Bacillati; Bacillota; Bacilli; Caryophanales; Paenibacillaceae
Description: TPP riboswitch (THI element)
Rfam family: TPP riboswitch aptamer (THI element)
About the family: Vitamin B(1) in its active form thiamin pyrophosphate (TPP) is an essential coenzyme that is synthesised by coupling of pyrimidine and thiazole moieties in bacteria. The previously detected thiamin-regulatory element, thi box was extended, resulting in a new, highly conserved RNA secondary structure, the THI element, which is widely distributed in eubacteria and also occurs in some archaea.
Source: RNAcentral
AAUCACUAGGGGGGCCGCUUGUCGGCUGAGAUGGAUAUAUUCCGGACCCUUUGAACCUGAUCUGGUUAGAACCAGCGUAGGGAAGUGGGCU